CCACGGGCGGCAGCAGUGGGGGAUAUUGGACAAUGGGGGCAACCCUGAUCCAGCGACGCCGCGUGAGUGAAGAAGUAUUUCGGUACGUAAAGCUCUAUCAGCAGGGAAGAAAGAAGACGGUACCUGACUAAGAAGCCCCGGCUAACUACGUGCCAGCAGCCGCGGUAAUACGUAGGGGGCAAGCGUUAUCCGGAAUUACUGGGUGUAAAGGGAGCGUAGACGGUUAAACAAGUCUGAAGUGAAAUGCCGGGGCUCAACCUCGGAGCUGCUUUGGAAACUGUAGAACUGGAGUGUCGGAGGGGUAAGCGGAAUUCCCAGUGUAGCGGUGAAAUGCGUAGAUAUUGGGAGGAACACCGGCGGCGAAGGCGGCUUACUGGACGACAACUGACGUUGAGGCUCGAAGGCGUGGGUAGCAAACAGGAUUAGAUACCCUUGUAGUC
Molecule: ribosomal RNA, 440 nt
Filed under: uncultured Lachnospiraceae bacterium
Lineage: Bacteria; Bacillati; Bacillota; Clostridia; Lachnospirales; Lachnospiraceae
Description: bacterial SSU rRNA
Rfam family: Bacterial small subunit ribosomal RNA
Source: RNAcentral